Molecule: long non-coding RNA, 4293 nt
Organism: Acinonyx jubatus (cheetah)
Lineage: Eukaryota; Metazoa; Chordata; Mammalia; Carnivora; Felidae
Exons: 4
Source: RefSeq, a predicted model, not a curated record
CCGGAAUCUUUAGCAAUACUGUGGCCACCUUGUCCCGGGCUCGUCAGGGGCUGGGCUUGGCAUAGGGCUGUACCUCCCAGGCAGCCGGUGUCCCUUGUUCUCCAGGCUCCCCUGUUGCCUGGCAACAGCGUUGGCUGCCGCGUAUUUUCUGACCGUGGCGGCUCCACUCACCCACUUUACCUGCCGGCCCAGAAUGGUACAGUCCUUGGAAAAAAUGAAGAAAUAGUGCUUCUCAGACUUCAGUGAGCACAUGGACCACCCAAAGAUCUUGCCAAAAUGGAAACCCUGAACCAACUUCAGAGGGCAGGAUGGGAGACAGAGAUGGAAAUGAGAAAGCAGGAAGGAAAAGUACUGAGAAGACUGGCUUUCUAGAAUGCACCAUGUUGUUAUGCUGUGAACAAUGGGAACCUCUUCAGUAAAUAACCUUUAAACAACAGGAUAAAUGCAAAUGACAUGACAAAUUACUGGCCCAAUUCAGAUGAUGGAGAAGAGACUGCACCUGUUGAUCCAUGGGCGGUACAGGUAUCUAUUCUACUGCUUCUCUCAGUUGUCACCCAACUGGAGAACGAAAACAAAACAAAAGCCAAGAAGAGAACUGAACUAUAUACUUAGCAUACCCAGUCACAUUUCAAAUAUAAGGUUUUCACAGGUCACAUAAAAGAAAACCUUCAUUUUACUAAAAAGGAUACACAGCACAUAACACAUAUGCUUUACCUCCCUACCCCUUUUCUGCUGUAGGUUUUAGUUAGCAGAAAAAAAAUCAAAUAAAGGAAAAUUCAAGUCAGAAAGAACACAAUGUGAGAUGUUCCAAAUUUUGUGAGAUUUAUCAGAAAAUUAGGAAAAACAUAAAAAUUUAUUUAAAGCAUUUAUACUUGAUAAACCAAAAAUUCAUCAGAAAGCUCAGAGAUCCUAUUAAAUUUAGGAGAAUACUGCCCUUGUUUCUCAGUCCAUUUCCCCUUAGUAUACUUUACAUUCAUGAAGGGCAGGGGAUUGUGUUUUAUUCAACCCCUGUACCCAACCUAGAAAAGUCAGUUAUUUUGUUACUGACUAUAGCUGUGUCUUAGGAAGAAGGCUAAUUCUUUUCCUGUAUUUUGUCCUAUAGUUUCCAAACGUUGUGUACAACGGGCAUGCCUUAAGAUGAUGGUGUUAAAAAAGGGGGAGGAGGGGCUUAAAGGUAUGACAAUCAUAGCAUCUCACAGAAGAAAAUGCAUAGUUUAGUGUUUCCCCACUGCAUUUUAUAAAUCUCUAGAGAUCACUGUUAUGUGAAUUUCAUUCCCUUGGUGUAUUAUGUCAAAAGCAUAAAUGUCUAUCAGUAGACACACAGAUUUUAAUACAAAUCCAUCUUGUAUUUCCCCACACUGCAGGAAACUGCCAUUGACUGCAUGAUUCUAGAUAUAUUUGUAUAGGUGAUAAAACAAAAUGCCCACAGGUGAGGAAUGCUCUCAACUCCAUUCAUUCUGAGUCCUUGGAGAACUUCCUCCCAAAUUCUCAUCACCAAGUUUUUCCCUCGACAUGGGCUUCUUCUAUCUUUCUUUCCUUGGUAUUGCUUUUUCUCCUUCUUGGGAAGCAAAUGGUUCCCCCUUCAUUCCCAAAUCCAAAAACUUUUAUAAAAAUCAAUUUUUAUUAUGGAAAUUUCAAAACUUAGUCAAAAGCAGAGAGACAAGUACAAUGAAUAACCUAUGUAUCCCAUCACCCAGGGCCAAAUAUUAUCAACUCAAGGCUUAUUCUGUUUUAUCUAUUCCUCUCCUCUGUUAAUGAAUUAUUUUGAAACAAAUUCCAGGUAUCAUAUCAUUUCAUCCAUAAACAUUUUAAUAUGGAUCUCUUUUAAAGAUCCUUUUCAAGAACAAAACCACAAUACCAUUAUCACAAUCAAAAAAAUCAGUGAUUCUUAAUAUCAAAUAACUAGUCAGUAUUCAAAUUUCUAUGGCCUUUUUAAAAAUAGAGUUGUCCUCUAUCCUUCCUGCUUACCACCCUUCCCCUCACUACUCUCAGUCAUCAUUUCCUCCCUAUUUUUCUGCUUCUCUAACACUCUUUGAGAAGUUUCUUACCUCUUGCUGCUACAUGAAACGAUGGUCUUAAGAGUCCUGCUGCUGACCCUCAUUUCAAUAUGGUUUAAAUCAGGGUUGGCAAACUACAGCCUAUAGUGGCCACUUUUGUAAAUAAAAUUUUACUGGAACAUAGCCAUGUACAUUUAUUUACUUAUUGCCUACGGCUGCUAUGGAGCUAUAAUUUGCAACAGAGAACAUAAUGCUUGUAAACCUCAAAAAUUUUAAAUCUGGCCCUUUGAGAAAAAGUCUGCUGACUCUUGAACCUAUUACUAACAAGCCAGGGUUUCACAAACCUUGCCCUCUGGCAAGAAUUCUGCUACUAUCUCAUUCCACACAUGUACUGUCCAUAACUAAUCAGAAGUAUCACAGCCAUUCAAUCAUAAUGUUUCAGAAACAGAAACUGAACAUCUCUCUUUCUUCAAGCUAUGCUCCUUUAGAGACACUAGAGUGACAUUCCUAAGACAACAGUCUUUUCACACAAGCUUUCCCCUGCUUUAAAAAGCGAAACAGCAACAACAACAAAAACAAGCAAACUAAACCAUAACCUUAGGUGGCUGUCAGUCAGUAACUUCUUUAGCUUGGGGUAUACGACACCUUUUAUAACUAGGUCCACUCUACCUUUUAAACACUGCCCAUCCUAGUCAUAGGAGAUUAUUCUGUGAAUCCCUAAGUAUGCCACUCUCUUUCCUGUUUUUGCUCAUUCUGCUCCCUCAGCCUCAAAUACCCUUCUCACUGCAUUGUCUUUCUACUUUUACCAUGAAAAAGAACUGAAAGUGUUUGUCGUCAUGUGUUACAUCAGCUACAAAGUACUUGAUUUUUUUUUAUUAAAAAUAAUCAAAAUCCAUACUGUAAGUAGAGGUUUUUGUAUCAGAACCAUUUCUAAAUUGAGUUUUACUUUUUCUCUUUACCUGAUUUAUGCUGUAAAAAGUUUAAGUGACUUGUACAUAAUCUCUCAGAAAAAAAAUAACUGAGUACUAAAUGGAAGAGAGGACUCUUGACUUGUCUCAAGAUACCCCAAGAUCAGACUAUAUUUUUAUGGAGGUGAGGGUGGGAAAGUAAAGAAAUCAACUGAUUGAAAACCAGCCUCUCUAUAGUUAAACAUUCCUAUGAAUACAGGGAAAUGGAGACUCACAUCAGGUCCUCACCAAAAUCAUGACUGGGCUGCUUCUUUAUGAAAUCGAGCAACUGAGAAUAGAUUAGAGUAAGAUGGUAUCUUUACUUGUGAAAAAGUAAUGUGAAAUAUAAAGGCAUAAUGUCCAAAUUAACAAUCAAAAGAAUCUCUUGUAGGAUAUAAUUUGAUAUUACUUUCCUAUGUUUUUGAUUCAAACCACCCAAAAAGAUUUUCUUUUUUCUUUCCUUUUAUUUUAAUGAGAGAGAGAGACAAAGAGACUGAGAAAGAGAGAGCCCGAGUUUGUGUGACAGGGACAGAGGGAGAGAGAAAGAUACAGAAUCUUCACCCAGUGUGGUACCAGAAUUGGGGCUCCAUCUCACAACUGGGAGAUCAUAACCUCAGCCUAAAUCAAGAGUCGGAUGCUUAACCGAUUGAGCCACCCAGGAGCCCUCCCUCCUCCCGACAAAAGCUUUUAAUUAAAACUAUUUUUUACUAGUAAACAAAAAAGGAAAAUUUUUAAGAAAAUAAAUUAUAUGCACGUAAAAGGCCCUAUUAGCUAAUUCAUGAUCUCUAUCAGGAUUAGCCUUUAAUUUAUGAUAAACUAAUAAGGCACAAAUGUUUCAAUCUUUCAUUAUAGCUUCUCAUUUCAACAAACUCAUGCUACUUUCAUCUCUGCACAUUCCAAGGAUAAGGCAUCUCUCUGAGGACCCCCAUAAACUUUAGGAAUCAAUUUGUACCUGAUUCAGUGUUGUCUAAACCUAUUCAAUCAGUGAUAUACAGCUCUGAGCCCACAAGGCACAGUGGAAUUUUUCAGUUGCUUUAUGUUCUAUCACAUUUAGUUAAAAGCUGGCACUGAACAGCUGUAUAGCGGUUACCGUCUAGGAUGAGUUUGUGACAGCAUGACCUGAAAUGUAGAAUGUACUGUUUCUGUCUAAAAACCAUAUACCUCACAUCAAUAUCUGGGAACAUUUUUAUCAACAAGUGACUGCUAGGAGUGCACGGCAUAUAGUUUCCUGACUUCAAAUCCAGCUUAUUCAACAGUACAAAGAACCAAAUAUGCAGUGACUCCUUUGAAUCCUCUUAUAAAAGGGAGCACUUCCUGGCUGUCCUAAAUAAACUCAGAAAACCAUAUUU